RNAcentral lists this ribosomal RNA (447 nucleotides) under uncultured bacterium. RNAcentral's name for it is "partial 16S ribosomal RNA". It matches the Rfam family "Bacterial small subunit ribosomal RNA", at positions 29 to 523 of the family's 1533-position model. The record is from RNAcentral.
AGCGAACGCUGGCGGCAGGCUUAACACAUGCAAGUCGAACGCCCCGCAAGGGGAGUGGCAGACGGGUGAGUAACACGUGGGAACGUACCCUUUGGUUCGGAAUAACUUGGGGAAAAUCAAGAUAAUACCGGAUAAGUCCUUAUGGGGAAAGGUUUACUGCCGGAGGAUCGGCCCGCGUCUGAUUAGCUAGUUGGGGAGGUAAUGGCUCACCAAGGCGACGAUCAGUAGCUGGUCUGAGAGGAUGAUCAGCCACACUGGGACUGAGACACGGCCCAGACUCCUACGGGAGGCAGCAGUGGGGAAUAUUGGACAAUGGGGGCAACCCUGAUCCAGCCAUGCCGCGUGAGUGAUGAAGGCCUUAGGGUUGUAAAGCUCUUUUACCCGGGACGAUAAUGACUGUACCGGGAGAAUAAGCCCCGGCUAACUUCGUGCCAGCAGCCGCGGUAA